This 426-nucleotide ribosomal RNA is filed under the name uncultured bacterium. RNAcentral describes it as "partial 16S ribosomal RNA". It matches the Rfam family "Bacterial small subunit ribosomal RNA", at positions 354 to 796 of the family's 1533-position model. The record is from RNAcentral.
GUGGGGAAUUUUCCGCAAUGGGCGAAAGCCUGACGGAGCAAUGCCGCGUGAAGGAUGAAGGCCUAUGGGUUGUAAACUUCUUUUCUCAGAAAAGAAUUAUGACGGUAUCUGAGGAAUAAGCAUCGGCUAACUCUGUGCCAGCAGCCGCGGUAAGACAGAGGAUGCAAGCGUUAUCCGGAAUGAUUGGGCGUAAAGCGUCUGUAGGUUGUUUAAAAAGUAUUCUGUCAAAGAUUAGGGCUUAACCCUAGAUAGGCAGAAUAAACUUUUAAGCUAGAGUUUGGUAGAGGCAGAGGGAAUUCCCGGUGGAGCGGUGAAAUGCGUAGAUAUCGGGAGGAACACCAAAGGCGAAGGCACUCUGCUGGGCCAAUACUAACACUGAGAGACGAAAGCGAGGGGAGCAAAUGGGAUUAGAAACCCCAGUAGUCC